UACAGAGGGUGCGAGCGUUGUCCGGAAUCACUGGGCGUAAAGGGCGCGUAGGUGGCGACCCAAGUCUGUGGUGAAAGCUCGACGCUCAACGUCGAGUCGGCCAUAGAUACUGGGUUGCUUGAGCACUGUAGAGGCAGAUGGAAUUCCGGGUGUAGCGGUGGAAUGCGUAGAGAUCCGGAAGAGCACCGGUGGCGAAGGCGGUCUGCUGGGCAGUUGCUGACACUGAGGCGCGACAGCGUGGGGAGCAAACAGG
Molecule: ribosomal RNA, 253 nt
Filed under: uncultured bacterium
Lineage: Bacteria
Description: partial 16S ribosomal RNA
Rfam family: Bacterial small subunit ribosomal RNA
Source: RNAcentral